GGGUGAAUGGCAAGGACACUCCUUCUCCCCGCAGUAAACUUCAUUACCUAUCAGGGCUAGCUGAUUUCCCAGAGUGUCAUUCAAAUCCAUCUCCCAGUGGUUCCAUCAUUUCUCACCCAAAACAUUGCAGCACCCCGUCCCCUCUGCCCACUCUCCACACUGCAGCCAGUCAUCUUCCUGAAGGCCAGGGCCAAGCCCAUCACACCCUGCCUCACAGCUUCUCAGGCAGCUCCCAUUGCUCUCAGCUGGAAGUUCAAGCUCUCUGACCUGGUCUUCAAGGAUGAGUUCUGGUGAGGGCUGCCCGCUGCAGACACGUCCUCUCACCCUGUGCUCAGCCACCACACAGACACUCCUUCUUCCCCUCCUGCCCAGGUUAACUCCUCCAUCUUCAGUUCUUAGCUUAGAGGGCACCUUCUCCAGAGGGCAUCCCCCCAUGCAACUUGGGGUUGGCUCCUGUCCCCACUGGAUUGCUGGCUGUGGUCCAAGGUUGGGCACACAUCUUCCACCACUGUAUUGUCCUUGCUUGGGGGGUGCUGAGCUAUUUGGCAGUCACUCAUGAUUCAUCCUUUCUCACUUGCCUUUGCUGAGCACAGAUGGAGGGAGGUUCUCCCACAUCUCAAGGGAACGAAGAGGGCAAAACAGGGUUCCCCAGAUGUUAGAGUCUGUAAACAAGUCAAAAUAACACCUGGCAUUUUGCCAGGGGAAUGUUAGAGUUCAUAAACAAGUCUGGAUGGCGCCUGGCAAAAUGCCAGAGGGAGUGGUUUGUGAAGUAACUCCAGCGAGCCAUUAAGUGUAGAGAUUUCUUAUUGGUUGACUGAUGUAUCUAGUUUAUGCUAAUUAAGAUAAGC
This 848-nucleotide long non-coding RNA is filed under the name Marmota monax (woodchuck). The record is from RNAcentral. Lineage: Eukaryota; Metazoa; Chordata; Mammalia; Rodentia; Sciuridae.